GUGGGGAAUAUUGGGCAAUGGGCGAAAGCCUGACCCAGCAACGCCGCGUGAAGGAAGAAGGUCUUCGGAUCGUAAACUUCUAUCCUUGGUGAAGAUAAUGACGGUAGCCGAGAAGGAAGCCCCGGCUAACUACGUGCCAGCAGCCGCGGUAAUACGUAGGGGGCAAGCGUUGUCCGGAAUGAUUGGGCGUAAAGGGCGCGUAGGCGGCCUGGUAAGUCUGGAGUGAAAGUCCUGCUUUUAAGGUGGGAAUUGCUUUGGAUACUGUCGGGCUUGAGUGCAGGAGAGGUAAGUGGAAUUCCCGGUGUAGCGGUGAAAUGCGUAGAGAUCGGGAGGAACACCAGUGGCGAAGGCGACUUACUGGACUGUAACUGACGCUGAGGCGCGAAAGUGUGGGGAGCAAACAAGAUUAGAAACCCGUGUAGUCC
This 425-nucleotide ribosomal RNA is filed under the name uncultured bacterium. Its description in RNAcentral is "partial 16S ribosomal RNA". It matches the Rfam family "Bacterial small subunit ribosomal RNA", at positions 354 to 796 of the family's 1533-position model. The record is from RNAcentral.